ACGGGUGAGUAACGCGUAGGAAUAUGCCUUAAAGUGGGGGACAACUUGGGGAAACUCAAGCUAAUACCGCAUAAUUUCUUAGGAAAAAAGCUGGGGACCUUCGGGCCUGGCGCUUUAAGAUUAGCCUGCGUCCGAUUAGCUAGUUGGUAGGGUAAAGGCCUACCAAGGCGACGAUCGGUAGCUGGUCUGAGAGGAUGGCCAGCCACACUGGAACUGAGACACGGUCCAGACUCCUACGGGAGGCAGCAGUGGGGAAUAUUGGACAAUGGGGGCAACCCUGAUCCAGCAAUGCCGCGUGUGUGAAGAAGGCCUGAGGGUUGUAAAGCACUUUCAGUGGGGAGGAGGGUUGAUAGUUUAAGAGACGAUUAACUGGACGUUACCCACAGAAGAAGCACCGGCUAACUCCGUGCCAGCAGCCGCGGUAAUACGGAGGGUGCGAGCGUUAAUCGGAAUUACUGGGCGUAAAGAGUUCGUAGGUGGUUGGAUAAGUUAUCUGUGAAAUCCCUGGGCUUAACCUGGGCAGGUCAGAUAAUACUGUUUGACUCGAGUAUGGGAGAGGGUAGUGGAAUUUCCGGUGUAGC
Molecule: ribosomal RNA, 581 nt
Filed under: uncultured bacterium
Lineage: Bacteria
Description: bacterial SSU rRNA
Rfam family: Bacterial small subunit ribosomal RNA
Source: RNAcentral